This 370-nucleotide ribosomal RNA is filed under the name uncultured microorganism. RNAcentral's name for it is "bacterial SSU rRNA". It matches the Rfam family "Bacterial small subunit ribosomal RNA", at positions 346 to 704 of the family's 1533-position model. The record is from RNAcentral.
GUGCACCAGUCGAGAAUCAUUCGCAAUGGGCGAAAGCCUGACGAUGCGACGCCGUGUGAACGAAGAAGGCCCUCGGGUCGUAAAGUUCUUUCGCCUGGGAACAAGAGAGGAGGAUGAAUAAUCCUUUAAUUUGAGGGUACCAGGUAAAGAAGCACCGGCUAACUCCGUGCCAGCAGCUGCGGUAAUACGGAGGGUGCAAGCAUUAAUCGGAUUUAUUGGGCGUAAAGGGCGUGUAGGCGGCCGUUCAAGUCUGUUGUGAAAUUCCGGGGCUCAACCCCGGAGCUGCAAUGGAAACUGGAUGGCUAGAGGAGUAGGCGGAAGAAAAUGGAAUUCCAACAAGUAGCGGUAGAAAUGCGUAGAUAUGUGGAGG